Pyrus x bretschneideri (Chinese white pear) is the source of this 1749-nucleotide RNA transcript. It is a transcript of the gene named ananain-like, with no coding region annotated. The transcript is spliced from 11 exons. The record is from RefSeq and is a predicted model, not a curated record. Lineage: Eukaryota; Viridiplantae; Streptophyta; Magnoliopsida; Rosales; Rosaceae.
AAAGAAAACUAAAUAGAUAGGAUCUAGGCAAAAUAUAACAAAAAUCGAGUUGUAGGGAUUGUGGCGAAUUUGAAUCUGAGUUCGAGUAGGAAAAGUGACAUAAAAGUCGAGUUUCGUGUGGUAGAAACUUUUUCAUUUCCUAUUCUUCUCCUUCAACCUCCAUCAAUCUUUGGUCUGCAAUCGAAGAAGAAAACACCAGAGAAACUGACCCCCUUCAUCUCCUCGGCUGAUUCGCAACCUGUUCGCAGGCAAUCAUCAAAUUCGAAUAAAUCCCAUUUUCGGAAUCAAAAUCCAGUAAACAAAGAGAACCCAAUUCCUGAUUUUAGCUGCGGGAGACUGACGAACGAUUCAAUUGGAAUUUGUUUGGGCGAAUUAAAAGGAUUUUCGGAUGAGAAUCAGUAAAACAGAGGUGAAUUUGAAGAGGCUGCUUGCGGCUGCGCCUCAGCAACAGAACCAGGCAAAACUUGUACAUUAUGUUGCUACUUUACGAGAACUGGUAGAACAACUAGCUGAAGAGAGAACUCCUGAAGGCUUACCAAGGUAUGAUGGAAAUAUUGAUUCACAUUCCGAACACUAUUUUCUUGAUACGGGAGUUUCAAAGGCUGUUUUGAGUGACUAUUCAGAGAAGAUUGAAGCCAUUGCUUCCAAAUUAGCUGCUCCACCACCUGAUAUUCAAACACCCGAAGAGCCCCUUGCAAGAAUUUCUGUCAAAGCAAACUCUUCUGAUACAAGAGACAAUCAGAUUCCCCCUUCUCCAGGUUUGAGAAGGAGAUUUGUGCCUAUCUCAAGUACUGAAGAUGGAACUUGUGAGACUGCUGGUGUUGAUUCUUCAGGGCCUGUCAAACUGGAUGCUGCAGCCCAAGCACACAUUGAAAAGCAUAGAAAGCUUCAAGAGGAUUUGACGGACGAAAUGGUUGGAUUGGCGAGGCAGCUCAAAGAGAGUAGUCUCAUGAUGAGUCACUCCCUGGAAAACACUGAAAAAAUACUUGAUUCUACAGAGAAGGCUGUUGAAAGUAGCUUGGCAAGCACUGGUCACGCGACUACACGGGCAGCAGAUCUUUAUUUUGGGGGCCUUGUCUUCUCAAGCCACGUCUCGCACUCACCAAGAUGCAUCAAUGUACGGAAAAUAUGAGCAAUGAAUGACUUGUUUUGGACGUGCAUAUACCGACAUUAACGAGGAGGAGAAGCGUUUUAAUAUAUUCAAUAUAUUCAAGGAAAACGUGGAGUCUAUAGAAUCUUCCAAUAGGGAUGCAAACAAACGUUACAAGUUGAGCGUCAAUCAAUUUGCAGACCUUACAAAUGAAGAAUUCAAGGCCUCAAGAAAUGGAUUCAUGGGGCACCAAUGUUCCACAAAGACGACUUCUUUCAAAUAUGAAAAGGGAUGUGCUAUUCAUAUAAAUUUUUACUUCUUACAUAUCCUUGUUAAUUUUUAUUCUUUGAUAUUUUUCAAUUCAUUCGAUCUGACGGCCGAAAAUUAGAAAGGUGUGGUGAAAAGUAAAAAAGGGGUGUGGAUAGCACACCCCAUAUAAAAAUGCUACAACAGCACCAACUGUAGAUUGGAGAAAGAAGGGAGCCGUGACACCAAUCAAGGACCAAGGCCAAUGUGGAUAUUGGACUUUUUCAGCAGUGGCAGCCAUGGAAGGAAUUACUAAGCUUACAACUGGUAAAUUAAUGGCUUUGUCCAGGCAAGAGUUUGUCGAUUGCCGCACAAGCGGUGUGGAACAAGGCUGUGAGGGUGGUUCUAGCCCU